Molecule: ribosomal RNA, 858 nt
Filed under: Lactarius picinus
Lineage: Eukaryota; Fungi; Basidiomycota; Agaricomycetes; Russulales; Russulaceae
Description: eukaryotic LSU rRNA
Rfam family: Eukaryotic large subunit ribosomal RNA
Source: RNAcentral
UAACUGCGAGUGAAGCGGGAAAAGCUCAAAUUUAAAAUCUGGCGGUCCUUGGCUGUCCGAGUUGUAAUUUAGAGAAGCGUCUUCCGCGCCGGACCGUGCACAAGUCUCCUGGAAUGGAGCGUCGUAGAGGGUGAGAAUCCCGUCUUUGGCACGGAUACCCGGUGCUUCUGUGAUGCGCUCUCGAAGAGUCGAGUUGUUUGGGAAUGCAGCUCAAAAUGGGUGGUGAACUCCAUCUAAAGCUAAAUAUUGGCGAGAGACCGAUAGCGAACAAGUACCGUGAGGGAAAGAUGAAAAGCACUUUGGAAAGAGAGUGAAACAGUACGUGAAAUUGUUGAAAGGGAAACGCUUGAAGUCAGUCGCGUCGACCGAGACUCAGCCUUGCCUUGGCUUGGUGUACUUCUCGGACUGACGGGUCAGCGUCGAUUUUGCUGCUCGGAUAAUGGCAAGGGAAAGGUGGCACCUUUGCGGGUGUGUUAUAGUCUCCUGUCGCAUGCGAGGGGCGAGAUCGAGGAACUCAGCGCGCGCCUCUGGCGUCGGGGCUUUGGCCCACGUAACGCGCUUAGGACGCUGGCGUAAUGGCUUUAAACGACCCGUCUUGAAACACGGACCAAGGAGUCCAACGUGCCCGCGAGUGUUCGGGUGGAAAACCCGUGCGCGUAAUGAAAGUGAAAGUUGGGACCUCUGUCGUGGAGGGCACCGACGCCCGGACCAGACCUUCUGUGACGGAUCUGCGGUAGAGCGUGCAUGUUGGGACCCGAAAGAUGGUGAACUAUGCCUGAAUAGGGUGAAGCCAGAGGAAACUCUGGUGGAGGCUCGUAGCGAUUCUGACGUGCAAAUCGAUCGUCAAAUUUGGGUAUA